AUGCCGGAUGCUCCGACUCCUCGCAUGGGGUGUCGGGAAAGAUUUCAUCGGUAUGGGAUGGGGUCGCGUCCUAUCAGGUAGUCGGCGGGGUAACGGCCCACCGAGCCUACGACGGGUAGCCGGCCUGAGAGGGCGACCGGCCACAUUGGGACUGAGAUACGGCCCAGACUCCUACGGGAGGCAGCAGUGGGGAAUAUUGCACAAUGGGCGCAAGCCUGAUGCAGCGACGCCGCGUGCGGGAUGACGGCCUUCGGGUUGUAAACCGCUUUUGAUCGGGAGCAAGCCUUCGGGUGAGUGUACCUUUCGAAUAAGCACCGGCUAACUACGUGCCAGCAGCCGCGGUAAUACGUAGGGUGCAAGCGUUAUCCGGAAUUAUUGGGCGUAAAGGGCUCGUAGGCGGUUCGUCGCGUCCGGUGUGAAAGUCCAUCGCUUAACGGUGGAUCUGCGCCGGGUACGGGCGGGCUGGAGUGCGGUAGGGGAGACUGGAAUUCCCGGUGUAACGGUGGAAUGUGUAGAUAUCGG
Molecule: ribosomal RNA, 522 nt
Filed under: Bifidobacterium pseudocatenulatum
Lineage: Bacteria; Bacillati; Actinomycetota; Actinomycetes; Bifidobacteriales; Bifidobacteriaceae
Description: bacterial SSU rRNA
Rfam family: Bacterial small subunit ribosomal RNA
Source: RNAcentral